GGGGAAUAUUGCGCAAUGGGGGCAACCCUGACGCAGCCAUGCCGCGUGAAUGAAGAAGGCCUUCGGGUUGUAAAGUUCUUUCGGUAGCGAGGAAGGCAUUUAGUUUAAUAAACUAGGUGAUUGACGUUAACUACAGAAGAAGCACCGGCUAACUCCGUGCCAGCAGCCGCGGUAAUACGGAGGGUGCGAGCGUUAAUCGGAAUAACUGGGCGUAAAGGGCACGCAGACGGUGACUUAAGUGAGGUGUGAAAGCCCCGGGCUUAACCUGGGAAUUGCAUUUCAUACUGGGUCGCUAGAGUACUUUAGGGAGGGGUAGAAUUCCACGUGUAGCGGUGAAAUGCGUAGAGAUGUGGAGGAAUACCGAAGGCGAAGGCAGCCCCUUGGGAAUGUACUGACGCUCAUGUGCGAAAGCGUGGGGAGCAAACAGGAUUAGAUACCCUGGUAGUCCACGCUGUAAACGAUGAGUGCUAGGUGUUAGACCCUUUCCGGGGUUUAGUGCCGCAGCUAACGCAUUAAGCACUCCGCCUGGGGAGUACGACCGCAAGGUUG
This 549-nucleotide ribosomal RNA is filed under the name uncultured bacterium. RNAcentral describes it as "bacterial SSU rRNA". It matches the Rfam family "Bacterial small subunit ribosomal RNA", at positions 356 to 896 of the family's 1533-position model. The record is from RNAcentral.